CAGCCGCCACGGGAACACGAAGGGGGCUAGCGUUGCUCGGAAUGACUGGGCGUAAAGGGCGCGUAGGCGGCGAUCAAAGUCAGGCGUGAAGUUCCUGGGCUCAACCUGGGGGCUGCGCUUGAUACUUGGUUGCUUGAGUGGGGAAGAGGGUCGUGGAAUUCCCAGUGUAGAGGUGAAAUUCGUAGAUAUUGGGAAGAACACCGGUGGCGAAGGCGGCGAGCUGGUCCAUUACUGACGCUGAGGCGCGAAAGCGUGGGGAGCAAACAGGAUUAGAUACCCGCGUAGUCCCUGUCUCUUAUAA
RNAcentral lists this ribosomal RNA (301 nucleotides) under uncultured bacterium. RNAcentral's name for it is "partial 16S ribosomal RNA". It matches the Rfam family "Bacterial small subunit ribosomal RNA", at positions 509 to 809 of the family's 1533-position model. The record is from RNAcentral.